Non-coding RNA from Phascolarctos cinereus (koala), 3932 nucleotides. The record is from RefSeq and is a predicted model, not a curated record. Lineage: Eukaryota; Metazoa; Chordata; Mammalia; Diprotodontia; Phascolarctidae.
GAGAAAAGCGCUUCAGUAGCGAGAGGGGCCGAGAAAGUGGUGACACCGCCGGGGAGCGGGGGGAGUCCCUGAAACUUCUCCCAACAGCCCCAGGGCCAAUUUCCCCCCCUCAGCCCAACCCCCUCUUCGCCAGCUCCCGAGUCCCCACUCCCUGCGCCGGGGGUGGGGUGGGGAGCCAGGCCCGUCUCCCGCUGGGACACACACAGGGGCCGGGAGCGGGGACGGGACCCCCGAGGCGGGUGGACGGACGGAUUGACGGGCAGGCAGGCGGACAGACAGACGGCCGGGCGCCCGGCCCAGCGGGCAGGCAGGCAGAAGGAGGUGGGGGUCUGGAGGGGCGGCCAGGGGCGAGGGGAGUUUCCUCUCAACUAUCAAGGGGAGAAACUCCCCUCAGCCGGAGGAGAGACCCCGACCGUGUUUUCCUCCCGGGGGCCGCGCUCCCCCGCCCCACGUAGCGGCGGCCGCCGCUGCCGCCGCCUCCACCUCCUCCACCAGCUUCACCACCACCACCAUCUCCUCCUCCUGUUCCUCCACCACCUCGGGCCCCGGUGUCCCCGGCCAGCACUAUGCCCAUCUUACUGUUCCUGAUAGACACGUCCGCCUCUAUGAACCAGCGCAGCCAUCUGGGCACCACCUACCUGGACACGGCCAAAGGCGCGGUAGAGACCUUCAUGAAGCUCCGUGCCCGGGAUCCAGCCAGCAGAGGAGACAGGUAUAUGCUGGUCACUUUCGAAGAGCCUCCCUAUGCUAUCAAGGCUGGAUGGAAAGAAAACCACGCCACGUUUAUGAAUGAACUGAAAAACCUUCAAGCUGAAGGACUUACGACACUUGGCCAAUCCCUAAGGACAGCUUUUGAUUUAUUAAAUUUAAAUAGAUUAGUAACUGGCAUAGACAACUAUGGGCAGGGAAGAAACCCUUUUUUCCUGGAGCCAGCAAUAAUUAUAACAAUUACUGAUGGGAGCAAGUUGACUACUACCAGUGGAGUCCAGGAGGAGCUCCAUUUACCUCUUAAUUCACCUUUGCCUGGAAGUGAAUUGACCAAGGAACCUUUCCGCUGGGAUCAGAGACUCUUUGCGUUAGUGUUGCGGUUGCCUGGCACCAUGGCUGUUGAAUCAGAGCAGUUGACAGGUGUGCCUCUAGAUGAUUCUGCAAUCACACCAAUGUGUGAGGUGACAGGAGAUGGACAGACAGAACUAUCAAGACCUUUUGGAUCUCAACCUUGGCACAGCUGUCAUAAGCUUAUCUACGUCAGACCAAACCCUAAAACUGGGGUUCCAAUAGGUCACUGGCCUGUUCCAGAAUCCUUUUGGCCAGAUCAAAAUUCUCCAACACUACCACCUCGGACAUCACACCCUGUGGUGAAGUUUUCUUGUACUGACUGUGAACCAAUGGUUAUUGAUAAACUGCCUUUUGACAAAUAUGAAUUAGAACCUUCACCACUGACCCAGUUUAUCCUGGAAAGGAAAUCCCCUCAAACUUGUUGGCAGGUAUAUGUGAGCAAUAGUGCAAAAUAUAGUGAACUUGGUCAUCCUUUUGGUUACUUGAAAGCUAGUACAGCAUUGAAUUGUGUCAAUUUAUUUGUGAUGCCUUAUAAUUAUCCAGUCCUCCUUCCUCUUUUAGAUGACUUGUUCAAGGUGCAUAAAGCAAAGCCAACAAUAAAGUGGAGACAGUCAUUUGAAAGUUAUUUGAAGACCAUGCCUCCCUACUAUCUUGGGCCCUUGAAGAAAGCUGUUAGAAUGAUGGGAGCGCCUAACCUUAUAGCAGACAGUGUGGAAUAUGGACUUAGUUAUAGUGUCAUUUCAUACCUCAAAAAAUUGAGUCAACAGGCCAAAAUAGAAUCUGAUAGAGUCAUCGGAUCUGUAGGCAAAAAAGUAGUGCAGGAAACUGGAAUUAAGGUCCGAAGCCGAUCACACAAUCUGUCAAUGGCAUAUAGGAAAGAUUUUCAACAUCUGCUACAGGGAAUUAAUGAGGAAGUUCCUCACAGACUUCUAGACCUCAACAUGAAGGAAUACACUGGGUUCCAAGUUGCUUUGCUGAAUAAGGAUUUGAAGCCACAGACCUUUAGAAAUGCUUAUGAUAUACCCAGACGAAAUCUUUUGGAUCAUUUAACAAGGAUGAGAUCUAAUCUUUUGAAGACAACCCGUAAAUAUCUUAAAGGUCAAGAUGAAGAUCAAGUGCACAGUGUUCCUAUAGCACAAAUGGGGAAUUACCAAGAGUACCUCAAGCAGAUACCCUCUCCUCUUAGAGAACUUGACCCUGACCAGCCUCGAAGGCUACAUACGUUUGGGAACCCCUUCAAGCUAGACAAAAAGGGUAUGAUGAUAGAUGAAGCAGAUGAAUUUGUAUCUGGACCUCAGAAUAAACACAAACGACCUGGAGAACCAAAUAUGCAAGGGAUCCCCAAAAGACGACGUUGUAUGUCUCCACUUCUAAGAGGAAGGCAGCAGACUCCUCCAAUUGCAAACAAUCAUAUUGGAGGAAAAGGGCCUCCUGUACCAACUGCACAAGCACAGCCAGACCUUAUUAAGCCUCUUCCUCUUCACAAAACUUCAGAAACCACUAAUGAUAUGGCAGUGGAUGAUGUGAUUGAGAAUCAUGUUGCAGACCAACUGUCAUCAGACAUUGCACCGAAUGUGAUGGAUUCUGAGUUUUCAACAUCCUCUUCUCCAGUCAGUUUACUGGAGCGACCAACCAAUCACACAGAGGCUCUUGGCCAUGAUCAUUUAGGAACUAAUGACCUUACUGUGGGUGGAUUUUUAGAAAAUCAUGAAGAACCAAGAGAUAAAGAACAAUGUGCUGAGGAUAACAUACCAGCUUCUUCACUCAACAAAGGGAAGAAAUUGGUGCAUUGCAGAAGCCACGAGGAGGUCAACAUUGAAUUAAAAGCACAAAUAAUGAAGGAAAUUCGAAAGCCAGGAAGAAAAUAUGAAAGAAUCUUCACAUUACUGAAGCAUGUGCAAGGCAGUUUGCAAACAAGAUUAAUAUUUUUACAGAACGUCAUUAAAGAAGCAUCAAGGUUUAAAAAGCGAAUGCUAAUAGAGCAAUUGGAGGGCUUCUUGGAAGAAAUUCAUCGCAGAUCCAAUCAGAUAAACCAUAUUAAUAGCAAUUAAAAAGAAACUAGAAUGUGGCCACCUCUUUCCCUCCCCUCAAACACAAAGUAAAAAUAUGACUGAAGGAGUACACUGCUGUGAUCUUUGCAUUCGUUUUUGACAAGCACUGUUAGCUAUUUGAAAUACUAAAAGCAGCAAGUCUACAGAUCCUGUUUCCAUCAUUUUACAGUGACCUUUCUCCAUUUUGGUUUAUUUUUGUAAUGUGAAAAGUAUCACUCAAGAACAUUUUUAUUUAACAAACUAAAACACAAAAAAAUCCCAUUGAAAUUCUUGCUUGUCAUUGACUCUUGCGUGUCAAUUUCCCUCAGGUUCUAUUUUCUUAAUCCAACCUUCAAAAUUGUCACCUCUGUUAAGGUUGAAUUUUGCCAAAAAAGGAAAAAAAAGAAAAAAAGAAAAGAAAAAGACAAAAAAAGAAAAAAGUUACUUUGUAAUUUUUUGGGGAAAAAGCACAUACAUAAAAACAAGGAGAAGGAGAUUGGAGCCUCUGACCAUGUGAGUUUAAAAGGUCAGGUAAAGGCUCUGGCAUCCAGAGUCUGGGGUCCAGGGCCAGUGCCAAACUGAUGCCUCAAGAAGCAAGGAGUGACCUUUGGGAGCCCAGCCCAGUGGUAGCUGAGACAAGAACUUCUACAGCAGAGAUGCCACUUUUGGACAUGAACUUUGAUGGGGACCGAUGUUGUGUAGGAACUGGACUAGGUUUUGAGCCCAUUUCCCCUCAGAGACCAAGGUGGUGUGGGAAGAGCAUGCCCCUGAGGUAUUGGGGAAAAUGUCUGUAUGUUUGUUCUUGUUCUAUCUAUGAAGUAAACAUCUAUUUGUUAAAUCUGA